AUGACAGUGUUUAUUGUUCUUCUGGGUGGCUGCGAGCGCAUGUCCCGUAGGCCAUAUGAUGUUUAUCUUUACACUAACAAUUUCAUGUUUGGCCGACACACUGAGAAGCAAAAACUCUUGAGCUUCUUGUUGGAGCACAACAACCCUCCUUGUGAUCAUGCACCGGCAGUUCUUCCGAUCAUAGGUGGUGUUGGAGUUGAAAAGAAAACCUUGGUUGCUCAUGUGUGUGUCGACGAAAGGGUUCAGUCACACUUCUCCUCUAUUUUGCACUUGAAUGGACAUGACCUCUUGACCAUACUUGACCAUGGAAGGACCAUGUUUGGGAAGAUGUUGGUAGUUAUUGAGUUUGCUUCUGAUGUAGACGAUGAUGAAUGGAAAAAGUUUCACCUGUUUCUCGGAAAAAUGAGCAGAGGAAGCAAGAUCAUCAUCAUAAGUAAAGUUAAAAGAUUAGAACGGUUUGGAUCGGUGCAGCCUAUUUACCUAAGUGUUCUGUCUUAUGACGAGUUGAGGUACCUUUUCAAGACACUGGCAUUCAGGAGUGUAGACCCCGCAGAACAUCCACGGCUAGUGCAACUAGUAGAUGACUUUGCCAAGGUGUUGCUCAAUGCGUCAAAUACACUUCUCGGAACAAAUAUACUCAAGGAUGUCUUGAGAAUGAACCUCAGUGUUCAGUAUUGGAGCUGCAUAUUGGACAAGGUGCUAAGACACAUUAAAAGAAACCUCUCGAUAUUUGGUGCACAUUCAAGCAUGCUUAUAGAGCAAGGCCAUCCAGUGGACAUAACGGACUAUGCUUUGCAUCCCCUUAGCAUGAUACCCCUGACAACUAAUGUUUCAAUCAAGAAGGAAUUGCCAAGUCUGAGACUUUGUGAACUUAUCAGAGAUCCUAGUGUUACACCAAAACAAGACUUCAUUCUAGUUGCAUGGGAAUCAAGGGUACCGCCUCAUAGAUCAUUUCGCCUUUUUGUUAAGAGUUGUGCUCAGGGUAGUGAUGGCAGUGCCUUGCCAGGGAGGAAGCGAAGAGGAGCACCAAGCUAA
Molecule: ribosomal RNA, 1035 nt
Filed under: Triticum aestivum (bread wheat)
Lineage: Eukaryota; Viridiplantae; Streptophyta; Magnoliopsida; Poales; Poaceae
Description: partial small subunit ribosomal RNA
Source: RNAcentral